GACGAACGCUGGCGGCGCGCCUAACACAUGCAAGUCGAACGAGCGAGAGAGAGCUUGCUUUCUCAAGCGAGUUGGCGAACGGGUGAGUAACGCGUGAGGAACCUGCCUCGGAGUGGGGAAUAACAGUUGGAAACAGCUGCUAAUACCGCAUAAUGCAACGGAAUCGCAUGACUCUGUUGCCAAAGAUUUAUCGCUGAAAGAUGGCCUCGCGUCUGAUUAGCUAGUUGGUGAGGUAACGGCCCACCAAGGCGACGAUGCGUAGCCGGCCUGAGAGGGUGGACGGCCACACUGGGACUGAGACACGGCCCAG
This 310-nucleotide ribosomal RNA is filed under the name uncultured bacterium. RNAcentral's name for it is "bacterial SSU rRNA". It matches the Rfam family "Bacterial small subunit ribosomal RNA", at positions 28 to 334 of the family's 1533-position model. The record is from RNAcentral.